GCUUAUGAUUGAUGAGGAUGCUUAUGCAUUGCUUUGCCAAGGCUGAGUGCAUGCUUAACACCUAGGGUGUUACAUAUCCGAUCAUGCUCUCACAGCUCCCACUUACUGAGGCUUAGAGGAAGAAUUGAUCCAUACAUUACCACUCAAAUGAAUGGUACUCAUACUAUUGCACGCCGUAUGAGCGACGAAAUAGAAAUAUGAUGCAUUAACCCCCAAGUCAGUACUUAACUAGCCACCUUAGAGUCCUUAACUGGGCAUAAAGGAUAUGACCACGGCACACUAGAUAGUUUUCCAAAAACUUAGUUUAACACGUUGAUUAUCAUUAAUUAAUAAUAAUCUUUUAUUAUACGGGUUUAAGCUUAGUUAGAACGUACUUAUGAACAAUAACUCGCUAAACCUUGCUCCGAUGCUAGCUGUA
This 418-nucleotide long non-coding RNA is filed under the name Sorghum bicolor (sorghum). RNAcentral describes it as "long non-coding RNA (SBIC_LNC017735)". The record is from RNAcentral. Lineage: Eukaryota; Viridiplantae; Streptophyta; Magnoliopsida; Poales; Poaceae.